Molecule: long non-coding RNA, 1271 nt
Organism: Astyanax mexicanus (Mexican tetra)
Lineage: Eukaryota; Metazoa; Chordata; Actinopteri; Characiformes; Acestrorhamphidae
Exons: 3
Source: RefSeq, a predicted model, not a curated record
GCAUCUGACGUGGAGAACAGUGUAGCAGCAUCUGACGUGGAGAACUCUGUAGCAGAUGCUGAUAUCGACGCCAGAGUAAAAAGCAAAUAACGCAGCUGCACAGAUCAAUAUGUCCUAAAAAAAACUCUGUGACUUGCUUUCCAACAGUGGACAGUAUCUCAAAAUGAUAAAUUUACUUUUUCUAAAAAUUCAAAAUUAACUCUUAUUUUCUGAUGGAAAUCUCUAGCUGGAUAAGCUGGUUGAUCAGUUUAGCUAUUGAUCAGCAUGAGGGAGGUCUGCUUUUGUGUGAGGUUGAUGAUUUAGCUGCUCUCUAGGCAUGAUCAAUAUAACCAAGCUAAUCAACCAAUACGACCAAACUUAACAUGGUUUGAAAUACAGUCACUGCUAAAUGUUUAAGUUCCUUGAGGUUGUUUUGGAAGUUUCUUCCAUUUGAAACUGUGGGGGAACCCCUUAAGCUGCCUUGGGAGAAAAUGUUCCUUGAAGCAACGUAAGCUUUCUAAAAGCUUCAUCCACUCCUUCCAAUUGAAAAACCUACAAAAGUUUCUGGAGGAAUUCAUGCUUUUAACAGUGUAGAGUGUAAAAACAUACAUAGUGUUUAUGCUUCAAUGGAAACACGAGGCUAGUCUCAAAUGCUCGGUGAGGGUCUAAACUGAUCAAUAAUAUAAACAGUGUUGAUGUGAAAAGGAAGUAACACAUGUUUAAUCGUUUCUUCUCCUCUGGGUCAGAUGCCAGUCAGGAGAGACUUAAUGAAACUUGUGAUUGUGGUUGCCCCAAUGGCUGGGAGGAGUCUGAUGGACGCUGCUACAUUAAUCAGAAAACCCCCAAGGACUGGGCUUGUGCUGAGGUUCACUUCAAUUCAAUUCCACUUUAUUCCAAUUUACUCUCCUCCUCUUUAAGUGGCUUAUUUUGCAGCACUAAGGCGGUGCAAAAUUGUUUUAUCACUACGAACACGCAGACUACACUCCAAAAAUGCUCACCUCUGAGCGGUGAAAGAACUAGCUCUGCAGUUAGCGGCUAAUGCUAAUGCUGCUGCACCCAGCCUUAGUGCUGGAGAAACUUUAAAAACUUUAAAAACUCACCCUUAUAAUUUAGUUUUUUUUUAGCGGAGUGGCUUUACUGCUCCUUAAUAGCUGACUGGUAGAAUUCAUACAUAAUUCAUACAGAUGCACCAAAUUAUAAAGAGCACUGAUGAUUUAUGGGAAAAUUAAAGAAUUUUAAGUGCUUGUUUUUCUUCUUUAAUAAGACUUUAAAUUACAUAAUGUUUAAAAUAU